CUGUGACAUACCAAUUGUUGCCUCGGCGGAUCAGCCCGCUCCCGGUAAAACGGGACGGCCCGCCAGAGGACCCCUAAACUCUGUUUCUAUAUGUAACUUCUGAGUAAAACCAUAAAUAAAUCAAAACUUUCAACAACGGAUCUCUUGGUUCUGGCAUCGAUGAAGAACGCAGCAAAAUGCGAUAAGUAAUGUGAAUUGCAGAAUUCAGUGAAUCAUCGAAUCUUUGAACGCACAUUGCGCCCGCCAGUAUUCUGGCGGGCAUGCCUGUUCGAGCGUCAUUUCAACCCUCAAGCCCCCGGGUUUGGUGUUGGGGAUCGGCGAGCCCUUGCGGCAAGCCGGCCCCGAAAUCUAGUGGCGGUCUCGCUGCAGCUUCCAUUGCGUAGUAGUAAAACCCUCGCAACUGGUACGCGGCGCGGCCAAGCCGUUAAACCCCCAACUUCUGAAUGUUGACCUCGGAUCAGGUAGGAAUACCCGCUGAACUUAAGCAUAUCAAUAAGCGGAGGAA
This 505-nucleotide ribosomal RNA is filed under the name Fusarium proliferatum. RNAcentral describes it as "eukaryotic LSU rRNA". The stretch from base 125 to 278 matches the Rfam family "5.8S ribosomal RNA". The record is from RNAcentral. Lineage: Eukaryota; Fungi; Ascomycota; Sordariomycetes; Hypocreales; Nectriaceae.